This 879-nucleotide unclassified non-coding RNA is filed under the name Hevea brasiliensis (rubber tree). Lineage: Eukaryota; Viridiplantae; Streptophyta; Magnoliopsida; Malpighiales; Euphorbiaceae. The record is from RNAcentral.
UUUUUUCUCUUCCGCAUGUUCUGAUUCUGAAAUAACUGCUGCCCUCUUCUCAUUAUGCUGCCUCACUUGCUCUUCUAAGCGACCUCUCUGAUCCAUAGGAUCAGUCAAUUCGGAAAAUGCAUUGGCCAGUUCACGACCACAGAUGAAGAAAAUCUCUCAGUCAAGCCAAUGUGCCUUCGAUGUGGUUUGGCUAAAGGAGAUAUCUCAAUAGGAUAGUCCAAAACAAAUGUGGGUUGCAAGAGCUUCGGCUCUACAACAAUUUCAAAAACCUCAUUAAGGAGGUGGCCGACAGAAGGGCAUGCUUCAAUGGCAGAUUUGUCUUUAUUUUCAAGCACAGGUCCAAGUGUCUUCAAAGUAGUAUCUUUAGCUAGUUUUAGAUCAUUACUCAGCUCACUGAAAUCAAUCUCUGUGGCCUCUUUUACAAGAUUGUGCAUAGUUUCCCUCCUCCAAGGUCGGUCUAGACAAAUCUCUACCCCCUGGUAAUCAAUGGUAAGCUUCCCAUGAACAGCAAGAGCACAGUGAGUAACAAUUUCCUCUGCCAUGUUCAUCAUGCUUUGGUAGUCUGAAAAUGCUUCAUACAUCUCUAUUGUGGUGAAUUCUGGAUUAUGACGAGUUGAAAUGCCCUCAUUUCUGAAAAUUCGUCCAAUCUCAUAUACUUUCUCAAAUCCCCCAACCAACAUUCUCUUUAAGUGAAGCUCAGUUGCAAUUCUCAGAUAAAGAUCCCUUCCAAGAGAAUUAUGAUAUGUUACAAAUGGCCUAGCUUCUGCUCCACCAGCUGCUCCCUGUAGAACUGGAGUUUCAACUUCGACAAAACCUAAUGACUCCACUGUCUUGCGAAUCUCAGAAACAAUCUUAGCUCUUUUACGGAACACAUCAGCA